CGGCCGCACGCUGCGGGCCGGGAGGCCCCGACGACGGCGGCGGUGGCUUCACUCCCGGCGGCGCGAUGGUGUCCCGGCUUCGCCCCCCCGGGCAAAGGGCAUCCUCGGGCGGGCCGCCUGUGGGGUGGAAAAUGGCAGCUGCCCACCAGCACAGCGCGGCAGUUCUCCUGGCCGGAGGUGUGAGGGAUGCGCUGGGAUGCUCAGGGGAUUGAAUGUCAUCUCUAAGACAACGUGUCACUUCAAUUGUCUUUCCUCAGAAGCCAGGUGAAAGGGAGGAAGGCCAUACCACCCUCAAAGGUCACUGGCUGUAGGUGAACUUCAAGCAUUCUCCUGAAGCCCACCAAGGUCUGCAUCUUCUGGAGCUCAAGGGAAGGAAGAAGCUCAGGCAUCUGCUUCCUCAGUUCAGUAACCAACAGAUGACCCUCAACUGGGUUUUGCCAUACCAAGCAUCUAUAUAACUUUUUUUUUUUAAACUGGCCUUUUUACCAGCUAAUAUAAGACAGCAACAGUCUUACAUACCCAGUAAAAUGUACUACACAAUAUUAUUAAAGUCCCAUAUGUUUGUUCAGAAUCACUCAGCUGUAUGUAAAGUCACUGGUGCAAAGCUAGAGAGGACAGUGGCUCCCACCCUAUGUGUGCAGAAUGACAGAGGAGACUUUUGGCAAAUGAAGAAAUGUGCAGAGAACUUAAUUCUAAAAGCUUUUUGUGCAAAAACCCUCCAAGAAAUGUUAGAAACCACUACAACUGUAAGUGAGCUUGUGAUGGGUAGAAGAUAGGAUUAAAUUGAGGAUUAAACUAAUAAGGAAAGAGUUUCCUUCCUGUACUGAGGGACGCCCUUGGUAUGACGAGAGCCCUGUGCCAGUGUUUGGGGUACUGCUGGUCCUUGGCUGCUAGUCACAGCAGUGCUUGUGUGGAAGGAGCCUGCUCCACAGCCGUGGCACACAGGCAGUUUUACAGUGAGAGUAAGGCAUUUCCUGCUGGCUCUCUGCUGAACUUGUGGAAAUUGGGAUUGAAGCUGGGGGUGGGGGAUGCCUGAUGACAGCAAUAAAAAUAAAUCGCUACUGCAGGGGUAGGUGGCUCAGAUCAGAUAGCACUUCCUAUAGGGGUUGGAGACACAUCAUCCAAGUUCAUCCCGAGCAUAGAUUAACCAUUAAUAGGGUUGCAGAGGAAAAAUGGAGAGGAUUAAGAGUUAAAGGGAUGUCAACUCCUUGGACUUUGGAACUGAAGAACCAAUGCCAGAGAUAUGAUGGGUGUGGAUAUUUCACUUAUUUACUCAGGUUACUGUGUUUCCCUUAGUCAAUUAUAAAUUCCUUCCUUGUUUUAAUUGCAAAACAAGUGUUUGCAAACAAGGGAUGAAUACCCAGCAAAGGCAAUCACUUUCCCUAUAUUUCUGGUUUUAAAACUGAAUCCUUGUUAAUUUCCACAUCAAGUUAGUUUCUUUAAUGUUCUUUUCAGCCUGAGUGAGGCUUCUAGUAAAACCAUGUUGAACACAAAACCCAGGAAAUUUUUGUUCUCUCCUUGUUUAAUAGCCUAUCCAGAAAUAAAAAAAGUCAUCUGCGUAACAACUGGUGAUACACCCACUGGGCUGUAGUCAGCUGUCAUGCCACAGAAGCUGUGAGGAACAGGCAUUUCUUCCAGUGUGGUACCUGCCGGCAAACUCCCAUCAU
This is a non-coding RNA of Lonchura striata (white-rumped munia), 1667 nucleotides long. Lineage: Eukaryota; Metazoa; Chordata; Aves; Passeriformes; Estrildidae. The record is from RefSeq and is a predicted model, not a curated record.